RNAcentral lists this ribosomal RNA (331 nucleotides) under uncultured eukaryote. RNAcentral describes it as "partial 18S ribosomal RNA". It matches the Rfam family "Eukaryotic small subunit ribosomal RNA", at positions 1470 to 1796 of the family's 1831-position model. The record is from RNAcentral.
CCCUUAGAUGUUCUGGGCCGCACGCGCGCUACACUGACGAAUUCAACGAGUUUAUAACCUUUGCUGGGAGGCAUGGGUAAUCUUGUAAACGUUCGUCGUGAUGGGGAUAGAUUAUUGCAAUUGUUAAUCUUCAACGAGGAAUUCCUAGUAAACGCAAGUCAUCAGCUUGCAUUGAUUACGUCCCUGCCCUUUGUACACACCGCCCGUCGCACCUACCGAUUGAAUGGUCCGGUGAAUUCUUCGGACUGCGGCUUUGACUCGAUUUCGGUCGAGGCGUUGCUGCGGGAAGUUGAUUAAACCUUACCAUUUAGAGGAAGGUGAANUCGUANCA